Molecule: ribosomal RNA, 515 nt
Filed under: Pichia sporocuriosa
Lineage: Eukaryota; Fungi; Ascomycota; Pichiomycetes; Pichiales; Pichiaceae
Description: SSU rRNA
Rfam family: Eukaryotic small subunit ribosomal RNA
Source: RNAcentral
UCCAGCUCCAAUAGCGUAUAUUAAAGUUGUUGCAGUUAAAAAGCUCGUAGUUGAAACUUGGGCCUGGACGGGCGGUCUACCUAUGGUGAGUACUGCAGCGUCCGGGUCUUUCCUUCUGGCUAGCCAUUGGCGAACCAGGACGAUUACUUUGAGGAAAUUAGAGUGUUCAAAGCAGGCCUUUGCUCGAAUAUAUUAGCAUGGAAUAAUAGAAUAGGACGUAUGGUUCUAUUUUGUUGGUUUCUAGGACCAUCGUAAUGAUUAAUAGGGACGGUCGGGGGCAUCAGUAUUCAGUUGUCAGAGGUGAAAUUCUUGGAUUAACUGAAGACUAACUACUGCGAAAGCAUUUGCCAAGGACGUUUUCAUUAAUCAAGAACGAAAGUUAGGGGAUCGAAGAUGAUCAGAUACCGUCGUAGUCUUAACCAUAAACUAUGCCGACUAGGGAUCGGGUGGCGCUUUUUAGCCCAUUCGGCACCUUACGAGAAAUCAAAGUCUUUGGUUCUGGGGGAGUAUGUCGC